Molecule: long non-coding RNA, 629 nt
Organism: Thalassophryne amazonica
Lineage: Eukaryota; Metazoa; Chordata; Actinopteri; Batrachoidiformes; Batrachoididae
Exons: 4
Source: RefSeq, a predicted model, not a curated record
AGGAGUUGGAUAUAUCCUCUGUAUUAGUCAUGAGCAUGUUUUUGGCUAUAAUGUGAAAUAAACCAACCAGAGUGUCAUCUGUCUUUCCCUUUGAGCCAGAGUGUACCAGCUGUGCAGCAGUUUUCUGGUUUGUUCACAGACCUGCAACAACCUGCUAGUGUGCCAACAGCUACCAAAGCUCCCUGAGGUGAAGCACCAAAGCAGGGGCAUUUGAUGAUGAGGAUAUCGCCCACGUUAAGGGCACGGUGGACCCAGUGAGGGAUGCAGAAGAUCAUUCAUGAUUAGUUGUAGCUGAAGGGUGAGGAGAUGAUCUGCCCUGUUAUUGACAAGCUGGAGAAAACGUCCAUUAGAGGCGGUGACAAGAAACUCAAACCAGAAUAUGACAUAAUGUGCAAAUCAAGAGCCGGGGUAGUGGAUAAAAGAAUCAUGCCUGCUACUAUCAUGACUGGAAUGACAAGGAGAUCAACAUGUCGGACAAACGCUCGCUUCUGACAUCAAAAGCGAUGAUUCACUUUAAGUUCUCAGAGAAAGAUGAUAUCAGGAAGAAGAAGAAAUGGUAAGUGCUUGGAAGCAGGGAUGGAGCAGACACGCUACACUCUUUAAUUAUGACCAAACACUGUGUGCAUCUA